AGUAGUUUGAUCAUGGCUCAAGAAUCAACGCUGGCGGCGUGCCUCAGACAUGCAAGUCGAACGAUUAAACUUCCUUUCGGGGAAGAUAUAAAGGUGGCGUACGGGUGAGUAACACGUAGGUAAUGUACCUUUGGGUGGGGAAUAACUUAGGGAAACUUAAGCUAAUACCGCAUAAUGCAGCGGCUCGAUAUCGAGACAGUUGUUAAAGGAGUAAUCCGCCUAAAGAGCAGCCUGCGGCAGAUUAGCUAGUUGGUAAGGUAAUGGCUUACCAAGGCUACGAUCUGUAACCGACCUGAGAGGGUGGUCGGUCACACUGACACUGAAUAACGGGUCAGACUCCUACGGGAGGCAGCAGUCGGGAAUUUUGGGCAAUGGGCGAAAGCCUGACCCAGCAACGCCGCGUGAAGGAUGAAGUCUCUCGGGAUGUAAACUUCGUAAGAAUAGGAAGAAUAAAUGACGGUACUAUUUGUAAGGUCCGGCUAACUACGUG
This 490-nucleotide ribosomal RNA is filed under the name uncultured bacterium. RNAcentral describes it as "bacterial SSU rRNA". It matches the Rfam family "Bacterial small subunit ribosomal RNA", at positions 1 to 507 of the family's 1533-position model. The record is from RNAcentral.